AGUGAACGCUGGCGGUAGACCUAACACAUGCAAGUCGAACGGCAGCACAGUAAGAGCUUGCUCUUACGGGUGGCGAGUGGCGGACGGGUGAGGAAUACAUCGGAAUCUACUUUUUCGUGGGGGAUAACGUAGGGAAACUUACGCUAAUACCGCAUACGACCUACGGGUGAAAGCAGGGGAUCUUCGGACCUUGCGCGAUUGAAUGAGCCGAUGUCGGAUUAGCUAGUUGGGGGGGUAAAGGCCCACCAAGGCGACGAUCCGUAGCUGGUCUGAGAGGGUGAACAGCCACACGGGAACUGAGACACGGUCCAGACUCCUACGGGAGGCAGCAGUGGGGAAUAUUGGACAAUGGGGGCAAGCCUGAUCCAGCCAUACCGCGGGGGUGAAGAAGGCCUUCGGGUUGUAAAGCCCUUUUGUUGGGAAAGAAAAGCAGCAGGUUAAUACCCCGCUGUUCUGACGGUACCCAAAGAAUAAGCACCGGCUAACUUCGUG
This 492-nucleotide ribosomal RNA is filed under the name uncultured bacterium. Its description in RNAcentral is "partial 16S ribosomal RNA". It matches the Rfam family "Bacterial small subunit ribosomal RNA", at positions 29 to 507 of the family's 1533-position model. The record is from RNAcentral.